UGAGGAAUAUUGCGCAAAUGGGGCCAACCCCUGACGCAGCAAUGCCGCGUGUGGAAGAAGGCUUUCGGGUUGUAAACCACUUUUGCCCGGACGAAAGGGGGACCCUGAAUAAGGUUGCCCGAUGACGGUACCGGGAGAAUAAGCCACGGCUAACUCUGUGCCAGCAGCCGCGGUAAGACAGAGGUGGCAAGCGUUGUUCGGAGUUACUGGGCGUAAAGAGUCUGUAGGUGGUCUGUCAAGUCUUUGGUGAAAGGCCGUGGCUUAACCAUGGGAAUGCCAAAGAGACUGGCAGACUGGAGGCUGGGAGAGGGAAGCGGAAUUUCUGGUGUAGCGGUGAAAUGCGUAGAUAUCAGAAGGAAGGCCGGUGGCGAAGGCGGCUUCCUGGAACAGACCUGACACUGAGAGACGAAAGCGUGGGGAGCAAACAGGAUUAGAUACCCUGGUAGUCCACGCCCUAAACGAUGGGUACUAAGUGUGGGAGGGUUGAACCUCCCGUGCCGCAGCCAACGCAGUAAGUACCCCGCCUGGGGAGUACGGCCGCAAGGUUG
Molecule: ribosomal RNA, 548 nt
Filed under: uncultured Leptospirillum sp.
Lineage: Bacteria; Pseudomonadati; Nitrospirota; Nitrospiria; Nitrospirales; Nitrospiraceae
Description: bacterial SSU rRNA
Rfam family: Bacterial small subunit ribosomal RNA
Source: RNAcentral